The sequence is a ribosomal RNA, 844 nucleotides long. It matches the Rfam family "Eukaryotic large subunit ribosomal RNA", at positions 69 to 930 of the family's 3401-position model.
CAGGGAUUGCCUCAGUAACGGCGAGUGAAGCGGCAACAGCUCAAAUUUGAAAUCUGGCCCUCUCAGGGUCCGAGUUGUAAUUUGGAGAAGAUGCUUCGGGUGUGGCCCCGGUCUAAGUUCCUUGGAACAGGACGUCACAGAGGGUGAGAAUCCCGUACGUGACCGGUGGCCUCCCCCGUGUGAAGCUCUUUCGACGAGUCGAGUUGUUUGGGAAUGCAGCUCAAAAUGGGUGGUAAAUUUCAUCUAAAGCUAAAUAUUGGCCAGAGACCGAUAGCGCACAAGUAGAGUGAUCGAAAGAUGAAAAGCACUUUGGAAAGAGAGUUAAACAGUACGUGAAAUUGUUGAAAGGGAAGCGCUUGCAACCAGACUUGCGCGCGGCCGAUCAUCUGGUGUUCUCACCGGUGCACUCGGCCGCGCUCAGGCCAGCAUCGGUUUAGGUGGUUGGACAAAGGCCUCGGGAAUGUGGCUCUCUUCGGGGAGUGUUAUAGCCCGAGGUGCAACGCAGCCCACCUGGACCGAGGACCGCGCUCCGGCUAGGAUGCUGGCGUAAUGGUUGUAAGCGACCCGUCUUGAAACACGGACCAAGGAGUCUAACAUCUAUGCGAGUGUUUGGGUGUCAAACCCAUACGCGUAAUGAAAGUGAACGGAGGUGAGAACCCUUAAGGGUGCAUCAUCGACCGAUCCUGAUGUCUUCGGAUGGAUUUGAGUAAGAGCAUAGCUGUUGGGACCCGAAAGAUGGUGAACUAUGCCUGAAUAGGGUGAAGCCAGAGGAAACUCUGGUGGAGGCUCGCAGCGGUUCUGACGUGCAAAUCGAUCGUCAAAUUUGGGCAUAGGGGGCGAAAGA